AGCUGCCUGAAAUGCGCGGCGCUCCUGUUUUUGGACCACCAUUUUUUGAAGGGGAGUCCGAGUCGAAGUGGAAUAUGAAUAAGCCUUCUUAGGAGGACAUUCUAAGACCACCGCAGGGCACCCACCUGGCGAUAGGCUGGGUAUCAAAAAAGGGGUGCGGCAUUUCGGGUUUCCU
RNAcentral lists this non-coding RNA (175 nucleotides) under Clostridiaceae bacterium. Its description in RNAcentral is "6S RNA". It matches the Rfam family "6S / SsrS RNA". Rfam says of the family: E. coli 6S RNA was the first non coding RNA to be sequenced, but its function was unknown until recently. It consists of 184 nucleotides that fold into an extended hairpin structure with a large single-stranded internal bulge. Lineage: Bacteria; Bacillati; Bacillota; Clostridia; Eubacteriales; Clostridiaceae. The record is from RNAcentral. RNAcentral also lists the same sequence under 3 other names.